AUUGAACGCUGGCGGCAGGCCUAACACAUGCAAGUCGAGCGGAUGAAGGGAGCUUGCUCCUGGAUUCAGCGGCGGACGGGUGAGUAAUGCCUCGGAAUCUGCCUGGUAGUGGGGGAUAACGUCCGGAAACGGGCGCUAAUACCGCAUACGUCCUGAGUGAGAAAGUGGGGGAUCUUCGGACCUCACGCUAUCAGAUGAGCCUAGGUCGGAUUAGCUAGUUGGUGGGGUAAAGGCCUACCAAGCCGACGAUCCGUAACUGGUCUGAGCGGCUGAUCGGUCACACAGGAACGGGGACACUGUCCAGACUACUACGGGAGGCAGCAGUAGGGAAUAGUGGACAAUGGGCGAAAGCCUGAUGCAGCCAUGCCGCGUGAGUGAAGAAGGUCUUCGGAUUGUAAAGCACUUUAAGUAGGGAAGAAGGACAGUGAGUUAAUACCUUGCUGUUUUGACGUUACCAACAGAAUAAGCCCCGGCUAACUUCGUG
RNAcentral lists this ribosomal RNA (484 nucleotides) under uncultured bacterium. RNAcentral's name for it is "partial 16S ribosomal RNA". It matches the Rfam family "Bacterial small subunit ribosomal RNA", at positions 30 to 507 of the family's 1533-position model. The record is from RNAcentral.